RNAcentral lists this ribosomal RNA (396 nucleotides) under uncultured bacterium. RNAcentral's name for it is "partial 16S ribosomal RNA". It matches the Rfam family "Bacterial small subunit ribosomal RNA", at positions 523 to 918 of the family's 1533-position model. The record is from RNAcentral.
AUACGUAGGGGGCAAGCGUUAUCCGGAUUUACUGGGUGUAAAGGGAGCGUAGACGGAAGGCCAAGUCUGAUGUGAAAGCCCGCGGCUCAACUGCGGGACUGCAUUGGAAACUGGUCAUCUGGAGUGCAGGAGGGGUAAGCGGAAUUCCUAGUGUAGCGGUGAAAUGCGUAGAUAUUAGGAGGAACACCGGUGGCGAAGGCGGCUUACUGGACUGUAACUGACGUUGAGGCUCGAAAGCGUGGGGAGCAAACAGGAUUAGAUACCCUGGUAGUCCACGCGGUAAACGAUGAUCACUAGGUGUCGGCGGCCAUAGGCGGUCGGUGCCGCAGCAAACGCAAUAAGUGAUCCACCUGGGGAGUACGUUCGCAAGAAUGAAACUCAAAUGAAUUGACGGGG